GAGACAGAGAGAAAGGGAGAGAGAGGAGUCACAGAAGUGAGCAGUGGGGGAUCUUGGGCAAAGGAGGUAAGACAGGAUAUGAAAACAAUGGACUCAUUGUGGAGUGAUGACAGAGGGAUGAGAAGGAGAGAUCUGUGGAACACAGCACCAUCUACAGGCUGAUCCAGCACACAAUCAGAUAAUCGCAGGAGGACACCUAAAAGCUUCAGCAAACAAGACAGAGGUGACCUAGAGACACAAUGCAUUCUUCUACGUUUCCUGAAUUUUUACAGGCCGAGUGACCGCAUUCCAGCCCCACCACCUUUCCUGUGCCAAAAAUGCCAACUGUAACAACAAAGAGUGGCAGAUGCCAAGGGAAUCCCAGACGACUGACCUCCAUGUAGCCGGCCUACCAAAGAGAAGCAAAUAUUUACCCUGCAUGUUUGAACCCAUGGCGUAGUGCCACGACUGCCCCUCAGAGUGCAUAUGGGGCUGAUAAGCUUACUUGUCAGUCUUUGAAUCCUGAGAUCGGGCGUGCCAUACACCCUGCAUGACGCCAGCUCAAGUCUUGUGGAUUUUAGACCAUCACGUAACGGAGAGGAACAUGUUAGAAUGUGGUACAUUUGGGAAAUGUGUUUCUUUUCUUGUUACUGUACUGUACACACAGUACAUACAUACACUCAAAAAUCUCAUUUUUGGCACAAUAACAUUGCUUGCAUAUGGUGUUAUUGCCAGCCUGAAAUUUAAAAGCAUAUUUUUGUCAACUAAUUUAUCUCUAACUCGAUAUAAAGAAGUUCUUAUAGGGAUUUACAAAGUAUUCCCAGUGCUGACUUUUAUUCUGUGAAAGUCCAGAACAUAGUCCCUGAGCUAAGAAGCCAUGAGACUGAUGUCUCCUCACAAGAAGCGAACUUCAAAAGUCAGUUUUGGAGGGACUGAUCUGAAGAAUGUGAGCCAGUCUCUAAUAACCAACAGAACAGGCUGGAUCAGUGGAGAAGGCCACCAAAUGAGAUCUCCUGGGCAUCAAAUAUAUACAAUACAUAAAAUAUAGUAUGUGCAUAUCGUAUUAAUGUGCUGUUCUAUUCUUCUGUUGAGGUGAAGCUUGUCUGUUUGGUUGGAGGAUGCUGAUGACUCAUCUGUCGUCACUGAACAAGAUGAACAAUUGUGGGAUUUAUAUGAAUAACAAGUAAUAGUUCUAGUUUUACUCAUUCUCUACUCCAUCUCCUCACUGGUGAGUGCUACAAGUCAGGCCAGUGUACGACAGCACAUUUGGUCCACCUGUUCACGCCAUGGCCCCACAACCAGGGUUGGGGAGUAACGGAAUACAUGUA
This is a long non-coding RNA of Myxocyprinus asiaticus (Chinese sucker), 1307 nucleotides long. RefSeq lists it as uncharacterized. NCBI's taxonomy places the organism in Eukaryota, Metazoa, Chordata, Actinopteri, Cypriniformes, Catostomidae. The record is from RefSeq and is a predicted model, not a curated record. The transcript is spliced from 3 exons.